Long non-coding RNA from Salvia miltiorrhiza (redroot sage), 2034 nucleotides. RefSeq lists it as uncharacterized. NCBI's taxonomy places the organism in Eukaryota, Viridiplantae, Streptophyta, Magnoliopsida, Lamiales, Lamiaceae. The transcript has 2 exons. The record is from RefSeq and is a predicted model, not a curated record.
UUUUACCCUAUUUGAAAAAGGAAACAUAAAAUAUACCCACCCAAAAUUAAACAUAUAAAAUGUACCCAUUUUGAGGUUGAAAGGACUAAGAUACCCUUAAAACAAAAAGAAAAUACCAAACAAAUCCCCUCUCCAAAAAAACACCAAAAAUCGCAACCUCUUCCCCCCACCCCCAAAAAAAAUUGCAGCCUCUCCCCAUCUCUCUUUCUCUCAGCGCGCCUCCGCCUCCGCCGCCGCCGCCCUGGCGUCGUCGCCGCAGCCACAGAUCCCGUCGUCGUGGCCGCCCAGAUCCGCCUCCGUCGCGCGCCGCCGUUUUUCUCUCCAGCGCGCUUCCGGCGCCUCCACGCACGCCUCCGCCGCAGCCUCCCGUCUCAGCCGUCCAGCCUCUCCUCCUCCUCUGCCUCGCCGUGACUCCUCUCCAAAUCACAGGCGCAACCUUCUUCUUCUUCUUCUUCUUCUUCUUCUUCUCUCUCCCAUCUCUCUCUCAGCGCGCCUCCGCCGCCCUCCAGCGUGCCUCCGCCUCCGCCGACCUAGCGCCGUCACCGCAGCCACAGAUCCCGUCGCCGUGGCCACAGAUCCACCGCAACCUUCUUCUUCUUCUUCUUCUUCUUCUUCUUCUCUCUCUCUCUACCGAUUCCCCCACCUGCACGAUUUCCGAUCUGAUGUCGCACGAUUUCCGAUCUGAUGUCGCACGAUUUCUGAUCUGAAGUUUGAUUUUUGAAAUUGUGCCAAGAUCUGAAGUUUGUUUUUUGAAUUUGUGCCAAAAAUGUUCAGUGCUCGACGGUUCACAUUGCUCGACACUCAAUGCUCGACACUUAAUAUCGAGCAAUAGUUCAAUUUGAACUAUUGCUCGUCUUGCUCGACAUUGAACUAUUGCUCGACAUGCUCGACAGUUCUUAAUUGCUCGACAUGCUCGACAGUUCUUAAUUGCUCGACAUGCUCGACAGUUCUUAAUUGCUCGACACUCGAUGUUCGAGGCGUCGAGCAAUAGUUCAAUUUAAACUAUUGCUCGACAUGCUCGAUGCUCGAUAGUUCAAUGCUCGACGCUUCAGUGUCGAGCAAUGCGAGCAAUGCGCGAAUUACACAUAGGGGUAAAAAUGUCCUAAGUGGGUAGAUUUUAUUGUUUUAAAAAAAGUGGGUAUAUUUUAUGUUUCAUCUUUCAAAAAGGGUAUAUCACAUUUUGCCUCUUUCUUUUAUGUACAUUUUAAGCCAACUUUUUUAUUGGAUCAUGUGAAACUAUAUUACUUAAAUUGCGUAUCGAUUUAUUUGAAAAUAACUACUCCCUCCGUCCCAAUAAUGAAGACACACUUUCCUUAUUGGAACGUCCCAAUAAUAAAGACACACUUCUAAAUAAGGAAAUAAUUAGGGCUUAAGAAUAUCUAAUUAAUUGCACCUUAAUUAAGGUAUAAAUAUGUCACAAAAAAACCCUAAUUUCUAAACACAUCUCUCACUCUCCUCAUCUCCCUCCUUCUCUCCUCCCCCUUCUCGGCCAAGUCGCCGCCGGCGAGCCAUGGCCACCGCCGAGCACCCCACGUCCACCGUCGAGCCACCUCCAGUCUCCUGACUCUUCCUCUGCCACCAGACCCGCCUCCUUCAGAAAUCCCGGCGAGCGCAGCGGUCAUCGACCACCACCGACUGUACCGCCGCGUCUCCACCUCCGGCGAAGUUAAGCCAUACCUUUGGGCCGCCUUGAGCCCUAGACAUCAAUUGGCUUAUUUUCCACCCAAUCCGCCGCCUCAUCCUCUGCCGUUUCCAGAUCUCCACCACCAUCACUAUCACCGGUAUCCACUGGUUCACAGCGAGUCGCCGUCGGAUUCUUUCGCAAUACCGGCGGCAAUUCUUGCAGAAUUUGGUGUUUGUGGAAUCACAGCGCGGGCAUUUCACUAUCAAGAUUUGAUUUUUGAGCGAAUUCUGCAGAUGGGUUGAUGGUUUAAGCUCGUGGUGAGAAAAUCAGAGAAGAUCGGAGAUCGGAGACGUGGGGCUCGGCGCCGGUGGCCGGCAUUGGCAUCAAACGAUGGAGGCGCAGUUGGAUCG